Molecule: long non-coding RNA, 713 nt
Organism: Eupeodes corollae
Lineage: Eukaryota; Metazoa; Arthropoda; Insecta; Diptera; Syrphidae
Exons: 3
Source: RefSeq, a predicted model, not a curated record
CUUGUGUUAUUCAUUAGUCUAUUUGAGUAUAUUGUUAACUCUAAUAUACAUAUGUAAAUAAAUAGAAUUCAUAAAUUGAAUUUUUUUUAAAAAUUUUUAAACAAUCAAAAGCUUUAUUUUCAGCAAAAAAUAAACGCAAUAAAAUUGAUUCUUAUGUCAAGUAUUUUUUUCUACUGAUCACCUAACUGAAAAAUGCCAGCAGAAUUUCAUUUUUAUUACCGACAUUCCCAUUUUUUACUGGUCCCAAGGCAUCAAUAAAAAAGUUAAAGAUGAAUUCAACAUCAAAGAGCAGCUAUAAACGCUAAUCAGUAAAACAUUUCAGAUCCCUCCUGUUUCAAUUUUUGCGGAUGGAUUUUAUUGAUAGCCUUUGCUUACCGGCUUUGUAACCAAAAUUUUAAACAUGUUACUAAACAUGUUACUUAUUACUUUGUACUCGAUGUCUCGGAUUUUUAUUUCUGUUGCAGUAAAAUAAUAAGGCUUUUUUACAUUCUAUUUGAUUGGCGUAAGAUAAUAUGUGCAAUUGAAUUACCGGUCAAAAGAAAAACAAAUAUUUACCGAGUGCAUGUUAAUGAGAUAUCCUGUUCUGCAAAUACAGUCAUUUAUUCUUUUAUAUCCAUAUCUAAGGUCGUUGGAACAACAAAUAAAAUGCAAUUGCAUGCGGAGAAUAUAGAUUCUGGACCACAACCAGAUCCAAAAACACUCUUAUAAAGAUA